Daphnia magna is the source of this 1845-nucleotide long non-coding RNA. RefSeq lists it as uncharacterized. The transcript has 3 exons. The record is from RefSeq and is a predicted model, not a curated record. Lineage: Eukaryota; Metazoa; Arthropoda; Branchiopoda; Diplostraca; Daphniidae.
CAUAGACACGUCGGCUGCUGUUCAAGUUGUAAACAUACGGGGUCGUUGCGGGUUCUUGUUACUAUGUGCAUCGAAUUUUGCAGAUUUCACAAUAGUUUGCGGGAAGAAGGUCAAGAGAAUAAAUAUCGGAGAUGAAGAGCAGCUCUUUCGUGCAAAGCUUGUGCCCAUUUAAAUAAAUGGACGAUAAAAAGUGAGCUGUACAAAGUGGACAAUGUCGGCUGCGUGCGUGACUGCCAUCGUGUAAGCAAAUCCCGGACACGAGAGUUUAGAAACGCGUCCUCAGGAAAAUGGGACGCGCCCUUUUUCCUGAUAUAAUAAGCUUCGUCUGACACGACGUCGCCCCACACACGACGCCGGAUUACAAGCAAAUACCGACAAUCAACAAUGCACCAAACAUAUCUAAUAGGACUUUUUUUUUUUUCUACAAAAUAUUUCUUCGAAAAAACUUUUUUGUUUUUGUUGCGAUUAUUCUCGGCGCGUGUCGCCUUUCUGCCAUGCAUUUUUGUUGUUGUAUUCACAUCGAUCUUGCAUCACAAAGUCUCAACUAUUUAAUCAUCACACAUUAUUCAGAUUUAUAUUCGAGUCAAAAAUUCGGCACAUCGAAAUAGUUUUAUUGACAAUUGCACUGCCAAUGAGCCGUGCCUCCACGGAACGUAGCCCUAUUUCCACUCGAGUGAAUUAUGAUGUGGUAUGCCUUUACCGAUUAUAAUCAAUAAAAGACAAUAUACGUUAGGCAGUUAGCCGUCUAAACAAAGCAGGGAAAGAGAAAAUUCCUUAAAAAAGAGGAUGUAAGCGGAGUAAUCAACGAAGCGAAUAAAGGAAUGCCUGACGACUUGAAUCGACGCCAAUUGAUGUCAACAUCCCAUCAUUUUUCUCACCCAGAGAAAAACCUCAAAAUGAAUCGUUUUUUUCCCCCUUCACAUACAACAAGCCAAAAUUAUGCAUUUGUAUCAGUUUGUGUGACAUAUAGCUACUCCCCCCCCUCCCCUACGUAUUCUAUACAAGAUUUCUUGACGCGCAUUAAGAAACGUAUAGCAACAACAACUGAUUGUUGCUGGGGUUGCUGUGAAACAAAUAACUCUGGGCUUAUGCAUUUUGCGUCCAUGUGUCAUCGAUGUGACCUGAAUACCAAUUUUUUUUUCGUACGCCAGAUCCUACAUAUAUAUAAGGCUAAAUAUAUUUUGCAGCUGAUGAGAGUUCGUGACGUGUCGGAAUGAUUAUCAUCAGCAGAGCAUCCAGCCAAACAAUAGCAAAUAGAAGGGACGAUAGGUCAUCACUUUCAUCAGCAAAUGUGUGUUAUUUUUUUUUUAUUCUCUUCUAGAAUUUAUUUUAUUUUUUCUUGUUUCUUUUGUACUGUGUAGUUUUAAAGAAAAGAAUACAAUAACAUUUACAUGGUGACAUUUGCAUAAUCCAGCGUGAUAUUCGUGGCGUCGUCUGCUCCUUCAUUAUCAAUCGGACGCAUUUUGCCCAGCAUUCGUCCCAUAGUAAUAAAAAAAUAUGUGACGACGUUCACUUCAAUGUGGCUGCUGAAAGCGUGAAAAAUCCUGUAAUAUUACGAGAAACAAUUUUUCAAAAGAAAGAGAAUGAAAAACGUAAUAGCGGUAAUGUCUCCUUUCCAUGGUGUUAAAUGAAAAAAUAAAUGUAAACAAUUCUGCAGCGUUUGACCAAUAUGUUUCCCAGCCAUGUGUAGUACGUAACUACGUAUGCUCAAUUUCGACUUUCCACUCACACGGGAAAAAAAUUUACUUUUUGACAGCAGUAGAGUGCAGUCGUUUGUUUACAUACGAAUUUAUCGUAUGAAACGUCAAAUGUCAUUUGCUGAUUUACCUAUCCAGUGGCCAGUGA